Long non-coding RNA from Harpegnathos saltator (Jerdon's jumping ant), 366 nucleotides. RefSeq lists it as uncharacterized. The transcript is spliced from 3 exons. The record is from RefSeq and is a predicted model, not a curated record. NCBI's taxonomy places the organism in Eukaryota, Metazoa, Arthropoda, Insecta, Hymenoptera, Formicidae.
UAGUCGAGUAGAGUAGAAUAAGCUAACUUAGCAGUAUUCGCAUGAGACAAUCAACGAUAUUUUAUCAGUUCCACAGAUUUGGCUUGCUCUAGAUUAUAAAUACAAUGGCUCAAAAAGAAAAAUAGCUAAAUGAAGUGCAUGAUGUGAAUUGCAGAAUUCAACGGACAGAUGCGAUGAUAAAAUUACUGUUAACUGAAAUGAAGAAAUAUGUACAAUCUUUCAUAAGUUCAGUACAUAAGUGUGGAAAAACAUUGCUACAUAUAUAAACAUUCAUAGGUUAUAAUUUGUUGGCAGAAAAUUGUAAUGUGAAUUGGACUGGAAUGAAAAAAAAUAUAAAGAAAUAAAAUAUGCAAAUAAUAAAACGGG